Non-coding RNA from Trichonephila clavipes, 79 nucleotides. NCBI's taxonomy places the organism in Eukaryota, Metazoa, Arthropoda, Arachnida, Araneae, Nephilidae. The record is from the annotation of a GenBank genome assembly.
GUCCCAAUAGCGCAAUGGAUAGUGUGUGUGCGUUGGACUUCUAAUCCAAAGGUUGUGGGCUUGAAUCCCUCCUGGGAUG